CCUUCGGGGGGCAGCAGUGGGGAAUAUUGCACAAUGGGGGAAACCCUGAUGCAGCGACGCCGCGUGAGCGAUGCAGUAUUUCGGUAUGUAAAGCUCUAUCAGCAGGGAAGAAAAUGACGGUACCUGACUAAGAAGCCCCGGCUAACUACGUGCCAACAGCCGCGGUAAUACGUAGGGGGCAAGCGUUAUCCGGAUUUACUGGGUGUAAAGGGAGCGUAGACGGCGAUGCAAGCCAGAUGUGAAAGCCCGGGGCUCAACCCCGGGACUGCAUUUGGAACUGUAUAGCGGGAGUGUCGGAGAGGCAGGCGGAAUUCCGAGUGUAGCGGUGAAAUGCGUAGAUAGUAGGAGGAACACCAGUGGCGAAGGCGGCCUGCUGGACGAUGACUGACGUUGAGGCUCGAAAGCGUGGGGAGCAAACAGGAUUAGAUACCCUAGUAGUC
RNAcentral lists this ribosomal RNA (440 nucleotides) under uncultured bacterium. RNAcentral's name for it is "partial 16S ribosomal RNA". It matches the Rfam family "Bacterial small subunit ribosomal RNA", at positions 338 to 795 of the family's 1533-position model. The record is from RNAcentral.